Molecule: long non-coding RNA, 841 nt
Organism: Cucurbita maxima (winter squash)
Lineage: Eukaryota; Viridiplantae; Streptophyta; Magnoliopsida; Cucurbitales; Cucurbitaceae
Exons: 3
Source: RefSeq, a predicted model, not a curated record
GUAUUUAAGACUCGGGGAGUCAUCCCAUUGGCAAUGUGAUCUUGUACGGGAUUUCAAUAUCACGUUAUGUAGUGACAUUCAAUGCUGGACUUGGCUUUGAAUUGAUUUACAAAGUUUACAUUUCAAAAGAAACGUGCAAAUUCUAUACCAAUUGCCUUCUAUAUGUUGCUUGUGAUAUAAUGCGGGGCAGUUCUUCCUUCUGAAGCCUUGUGAACUUUAGUGCUGAAAUAAUACUCCUCUCCCCCACCCACCUAACUUCUGAUAAUGCGUAGAAAAAUACUUAUACAAUACAGAUCUCUUCUUGCUGUUGAAAUAGGAGAGCCAUGAUGAUGCUACCCCAACAAUAUGAGGUUCCUGAUUUCGUUUGUCUACGAGGGAAUCUUUUCAGAUUCAGAUGUCCCACUUCCUUUCCCCCUUUCUGAAGGUAACUGUUGCUUUCUUGAACAUUCUAGAAGUGACCCCAUUUGCAAAAGUCAAGGACAACAGGCCUACACAUGCCAACAAAAAGCUUCAAUCAGUCGAACCCCCAAAGCCAAGCAGCAAAAUAGGUAAAGGAACAAAGAAGAAGCCGCCUCAGCCGAGAAGAAAAGGGACAGUGAAUGAAAAACAUGGUCAAGCUGGUCUCAAAUAUGGCUAAAAUGCACUGGUGAGCUUCUGAAACUGAGGUCUUUUUAAUCAUAAAUGGGUCUCUUCAGUAGUUCGUUAGGUGUUCUCAAAUUCUCUCUACCUGAAAAGUUAUAUGCUAUUUAAACCGUUGUGUUGGAAAAGUUAAAUGCUAUUUAAACCGUUGUGUUGUCUUUUGCUUUUAGUGAUAUAACGUUGCUUUUAAAAUCUUCUCUCA